RNAcentral lists this ribosomal RNA (253 nucleotides) under uncultured bacterium. RNAcentral's name for it is "partial 16S ribosomal RNA". It matches the Rfam family "Bacterial small subunit ribosomal RNA", at positions 524 to 776 of the family's 1533-position model. The record is from RNAcentral.
UACGGGGGGGGCAAGCGUUGUUCGGAAUUACUGGGCGUAAAGGGCUCGUAGGCGGUUUGUCGCGUCGGGAGUGAAAACCUUGGGCUUAACUCAGGGCUUGCUUUCGAUACGGGCAGACUAGAGGUAUGCAGGGGAGAACGGAAUUCCUGGUGUAGCGGUGAAAUGCGCAGAUAUCAGGAGGAACACCGGUGGCGAAGGCGGUUCUCUGGGCAUGAUCUGACGCUGAGGAGCGAAAGUGUGGGGAGCGAACAGG